Molecule: long non-coding RNA, 201 nt
Filed under: Elaeis guineensis (African oil palm)
Lineage: Eukaryota; Viridiplantae; Streptophyta; Magnoliopsida; Arecales; Arecaceae
Description: long non-coding RNA (EGUI_LNC056347)
Source: RNAcentral
CAGUGGCAAGUUACUACACAAUUCAAUCCUUCGAUCAUCCCUGCACCCUAAAUAUGUUCAUGAGUAUGGAAUAAUGUCAAACUCAAACACAUAUUUAUAUUGAUUCUCAAUUAACCAUUGAUAACUCCAAUGAAGAAGUAUUAGAAACUCUUUCUAAUCUCCUUUCUGCUUUUGGCCAAAAGAUUUUUUUCAAGUCAUCUG